This 497-nucleotide ribosomal RNA is filed under the name uncultured bacterium. RNAcentral describes it as "partial 16S ribosomal RNA". It matches the Rfam family "Bacterial small subunit ribosomal RNA", at positions 28 to 507 of the family's 1533-position model. The record is from RNAcentral.
GAUGAACGCUGGCGGCGUGCCUAAUACAUGCAAGUCGAGCGAACAGACGAGGCUCUUGCUCCUCUUACGUUAGCGGCGGACGGGUGAGUAACACGUGGAUAACCGACCUAUAAGACUGGGAUAACGUCGGGAAACCGGAGCUAAUACCGGAUAAUAUAUUGAACCGCAUGGUUCAUUAGUGAAAGACGGAUUUGCUGUCACUUGUAGAUGGAUCCGCGCCGCAUUAGCUAGUUGGUAAGGUAACGGCUUACCAAGGCAACGAUGCGUAGCCGACCUGAGAGGGUGAUCGGCCACACUGGAACUGAGACACGGUCCAGACUCCUACGGGAGGCAGCAGUAGGGAAUCUUCCGCAAUGGGCGAAAGCUUGACGGAGCAACGCCGCGUGAGUGAUGAAGGUCUUCGGAUCGUAAAACUCUGUUAUUAGGGAAGAACAAAUGUGUAAGUAACUAUGCCCGUCUUGACGGUACCUAAUCAGAAAGCCACGGCUAACUACGUG